GAGUUUGAUCUUGGCUCAGGAUGAACGCUAGCGGCAGGCUUAAUACAUGCAAGUCGAGGGGCAGCGGGGGUAGCAAUACCUGCCGGCGACCGGCAAACGGGGUGCGGAACACGUACACAACCUUCCUUUUAGUGGGGGAUAGCCCAGAGAAAUUUGGAUUAAUACCCCGUAAGAUAUUUUAGUGGCAUCACUUAGAUAUUAAAGCUCCGGCGCUAGAAGAUGGGUGUGCGUCUGAUUAGGUAGUUGGUAGGGGUAACGGCCCACCAAGCCAACGAUCAGUAACUGGUGUGAGAGCACGACCAGUCACACGGGCACUGAGACACGGGCCCGACUCCUACGGGAGGCAGCAGUAAGGAAUAUUGGUCAAUGGACGCAAGUCUGAACCAGCCAUGCCGCGUGGAGGAUGAAGGUCCUCUGGAUUGUAAACUUCUUUUAUCUGGGAAGAAAUGCAUUUUUUCUAAAGUGUUUGACGGUACCAGAUGAAUAAGCACCGGCUAACUCCGUGCCAGCCG
Molecule: ribosomal RNA, 512 nt
Filed under: uncultured bacterium
Lineage: Bacteria
Description: bacterial SSU rRNA
Rfam family: Bacterial small subunit ribosomal RNA
Source: RNAcentral